GCGGGGAUAGCUCAGAUUGGUAGAGCAGUGAAAGGGUUAAAACCCAUAGUCCUUAGUUUACAAACUUGCCUGAAAAGGCCAACUAAUUGAGGGUUAUCGUUAAUUCAUCGGACGCAGGUUCAAAUCCUGCUCCUCGCGCCA
RNAcentral lists this transfer RNA (141 nucleotides) under Nostoc sp. PCC 7524. RNAcentral's name for it is "tRNA-Und (NNN) (tRNA-Und-NNN-1-1)". It matches the Rfam family "tRNA". From Rfam's summary of the family: Transfer RNA (tRNA) molecules are approximately 80 nucleotides in length. Lineage: Bacteria; Bacillati; Cyanobacteriota; Cyanophyceae; Nostocales; Nostocaceae. The record is from RNAcentral.